AUACGGAGGGUGCGAGCGUUAAUCGGAAUUACUGGGCGUAAAGCGUACGUAGGCGGUUUGCUAAGUCAGAUGUGAAAGCCCCGGGCUUAACCUGGGAACUGCAUUUGAUACUGGCAGACUAGAGUAUGAUAGAGGGGGGUAGAAUUCCUGGUGUAGCGGUGAAAUGCGUAGAUAUUAGGAGGAAUACCAGUGGCGAAGGCGGCCCCCUGGAUCAAUACUGACGCUGAGGUACGAAAGCGUGGGGAGCGAACAGAAUUAGAAACCCUAGUAGUCC
This 274-nucleotide ribosomal RNA is filed under the name uncultured bacterium. Its description in RNAcentral is "partial 16S ribosomal RNA". It matches the Rfam family "Bacterial small subunit ribosomal RNA", at positions 523 to 796 of the family's 1533-position model. The record is from RNAcentral.